RNAcentral lists this ribosomal RNA (468 nucleotides) under uncultured bacterium. RNAcentral's name for it is "partial 16S ribosomal RNA". It matches the Rfam family "Bacterial small subunit ribosomal RNA", at positions 28 to 507 of the family's 1533-position model. The record is from RNAcentral.
GACGAACGCUGGCGGCGUGCUUAACACAUGCAAGUCGAACGGAAAGGCCCUGCUUUUGUGGGGUGCUCGAGUGGCGAACGGGUGAGUAACAAGUGAGUAACCUGCCCUUGACUUUGGGAUAACUUCAGGAAACUGGGGCUAAUACCGGAUAGGAGCUCCUGCUGCAUGGUGGGGGUUGGAAAGUUUCGGCGGUUGGGGAAGGACUCGGGGCUUAUCAGCUUGUUGGUGGGGUAGUGGCUUACCAAGGCUUUGACGGGUAGCCGGCAUGAGAGGGUGACCGGCCACAUUGGGACUGAGAUACGGCCCAGACUCCUACGGGAGGCAGCAGUGGGGAAUAUUGCACAAUGGGCGGAAGCCUGAUGCAGCAACGCCGCGUGCGGGAGGACGGCCUUCGGGUUGUAAACCGCUUUCGCCUGUGACGAAGCGUGAGUGACGGUAAUGGGUAAAGAAGCACCGGCUAACUACGUG